Molecule: unclassified non-coding RNA, 235 nt
Filed under: fungal sp.
Lineage: Eukaryota; Fungi
Description: partial internal transcribed spacer region
Rfam family: Eukaryotic small subunit ribosomal RNA (bases 1-46)
Source: RNAcentral
AAGUCGUAACAAGGUUUCCGUAGGUGAACCUGCGGAAGGAUCAUUCAAAAUGAGUGUUUAAUGGCACUCUAAAUCCAUUACCCACCUUGUGUGCAUUGUCGGGGAGAGCUCCCUCUUCAUCUCGAAGAGUCGUUCUCCUUUUCAUACAUACCAACUUUUUUCAGUAUCAGUCUACAUCUAUUUAGAGUAUAUAAAACUCGAAAUACAACUUUCAACAACGGAUCUCUUGGCUCUC